Molecule: non-coding RNA, 2718 nt
Organism: Agelaius phoeniceus (red-winged blackbird)
Lineage: Eukaryota; Metazoa; Chordata; Aves; Passeriformes; Icteridae
Source: RefSeq, a predicted model, not a curated record
UAACAGCAAGAGAGAUAAUUCAGUCAGAACCUGCAGCUGAGGUGGAAAAAUUGGUCUGUUUUCGAAUGGAAACUUACAAAAUGAAGAUGAAAGAGAAUCAGAGUUCCUGUGAUUGAGUUUUAGAACUGGAACAUUUGCAAGAUCUUUGCUUCAUCACCAGAAGUUCCAGUUAGUUCUUGUGGCGAUGACUGGGACAGCCUCAAAGAGAGGAUUGUGAGGUGGGAGGGGAGCUGAGGUGGCAGUUUGCAGCAGCAGUGAUUUGAGAGAUUGCUGAUGGCCUUCUUCCUCCCAGCUGGAAGAAGCAGGAUGAAAGGUGUAAGGACUUGUGCCACUCUGCAUAAUAAAGAGAGAUCUCCUGAAGUCUAGUGCCUGGUUAUUUCCCUCUGCUGCCCAAGAUGGACCUGCUCCAAUGGAGAAAUGCUGCAUAAUUGGUUUUGCAACAUUCCUGCAUUCCCUGUUGUCAGGACAUGAUGCUGUCCUGUGUUCUAGGAGGAUGAUGGCUCAGCUGACAAUCCUGUUGUCACAAAUGCAUAAGUAGUUCAGCAAGAAAUGUAACAAAGGCUCUCUGAUAUCACAGAAACAAUAAGCAGCAGGGACAAUACAACAUCUUGGGAAGAAAUGUCUUCUGUUGUUGAGGCAGACAUCACCUGGGGGAUUAAAGAAAGUUAUAAAUAGAGAAAUGCCUUUUAAAUAGAUUUUCUGUGUUGCUGCUGCAGGUCUUUGAAGAAUGAAGAUCAUUGACUGAUGUGUUUUAUUAAUGCUCCUUGGUGUUUCAGAGAAACAUCUGUGUUAUGAUUUGACCAAAACUUCAUACAGAUUUUGAUUGCUUGAUAUGAAAGAGAGUUUUAUCAGCACAAAUGGUGAUACUUACUCUAUUCCCAGCACAGUAGCCUCUGGUUUGUGAUGGCUUUGGGCUGGAGUGCUGCCAUUCUUCUGAUACUUGGUACCUGCAUUUUCUGCUGGGCAAUCAAAGUGCUGCAUUUCAGUUGCUAACAGGUUUAGCUGAAGAAAGCCCCACCUUUAAUUUUCUGUUGUACUCCUGCACUGAAGUUUACUGUCUCAGUUUCAGGUCUGACUCAUUAUGCUAUGCCUCUUGAACCCAGUUUUAUGACCCAAAGAGAGAAAUGCAUGUACUGCUCCAUUUGCCUCUGCUGUUGGACAGUAACUUCUGGCAGUGGUGAACCUGUAACCACCUAAGCUAGCACAGCAACAUCAGCAAGUGGCCUGUGAGCUGAAGCUCUUUGUUACUCAGUCUCUUCAUCAGCAUGUGCUAAUGAAAAGAUGCAAUUCCACAAGCAGUGGGACUACUCAGUCUUGAUCCAGGUUUUUUUAAUCUCUUUGUUGACUCUGAGAUCAAACCAGUGCUGUGUUACCUUUCCAGUCUUGUAGACAGAUUCCCACCUUUCUGUAGCUGCUGUAUUUUGGGAGACAAAGAAAGUGUCUAAUGCCAGGGCAAAGCUGAAGGAACUGGGGAAAAUGUAGUGAAAGCUUGUUUCUUUUAAGAAAGUUACACAACCUUGUGUACAAACAGAGAACAGAUUUCUUUGCUAUCCUCCAUAGAGGAAACACCUUUUUGUUUCCAGUCUUUAUCCACAGUUUGUCAAUUUCACCACUUAAAAUGUACAAACUAUGUGGAAUAUUUUGUUUGGGACAUUCUGUCUAGUAAUGUAAGGAAAAAAAAUUACAUUUAGAUAUAUUUGAUGGAGCAUUGGUUUUUAUUUUCUCUAAAGGGUAUUUGAAUUCUCAAUCAAAACAAAAAGUUAUAAAGCACUUUUUACUUAAUUUCCUGUGGAAGUGUGUUAGGGAAGUGAUGGAGUAGGCAGGUUGAAAACUCCUAAGUCACAGUGGAUUAAUACAGUUAGUAAUAUGAGCAUCGUUAAUUAGACUUUAAUUAAAUUGUAACUUGUUUGUCCUGAUCUGCUUGAUUAGUGGAAAACUUCUCUUACCCAGAGGAACUCCCUUGGGAUCUCACUUUCAGUCUCGGACCAAAUCAUCCUAUGAGUAUUGUGCCCCCCUUCCUAUGGGGAUUCUGGCUGUGAAAUAAAUUGUUUCCCUUGCUUAACCACUGAAGUAAAAGUAAAACUGAAAAGAAAUGCUUUGGAAACCAUGGUUAUAUGGUAUUAUGUGCCCUGGAGGAUCAGCAGUUGCAACAAGUUUAGCUGCUCUCCUGGAAGUCUGAAAUCCUGCUCCAGAGCUGCAGUGCUGGGAUGUUGCAAUGUGCCUGUAUAUAUCUGUAUAAAUCACAUAUCUGUAUUUGAAGCAAAAACAAAGGCAGCAUCUGGGUGAUUAUGUACCUGGGCCAGUAUUAAAAUCUGGAGUUGGAUUAAAAUUUAAUUAACUAAACCAUUGGAGAUCAUUUGAAUACCCUCUCCUCCUAAUUUUAUGGGAGCAGUUUUAGCUAGACCCUUUUCUGUGCUAAUGAGUUUUCCCUACAAAAGGUGUGUAGCUAAAUUUCUCUGUGGGUCAGUAAGAUUUUACUGGCCAGUGGAGUGCUGGGUAGUUCUUGUAAUCACAAGUACAAGCAGAAUUUGCUCAGUAUAAAAUACAUUCCAAAAACCCCCAACUUUCUAUCCUUAAAUUUCAGGUUACUAAAUGUCUAUGAAAAUUGUGAUCCAGUACAACUCAGGGAAGUACCAAAAAUGCUAUAGUACAUUUAUUUUCUGCUGCUAUGUUUUAAAAUUUUAUUUCAGCUUCAAUAAAAUACUGUUGUGUAUUUCA